GUGUCAGCAGCCGCGGUAAUACGUAGGGGCCGAGCGUUGUCCGGAUUUAUUGGGCGUAAAGCGCAUGUAGGCGGCCAUGUAAGUCGAUUGUGAAAUCCCGAGGCUCAACUUCGGAACUGCAGUCGAUACUGCAUGGCUUGAGGAAGGUAGAGGAGAGUGGAAUUCCCGGUGUAGCGGUGGAAUGCGCAGAUAUCGGGAGGAACACCAAUGGCGAAGGCAGCUCUCUGGGCCUCUCCUGACGCUGAGAUGCGAAAGCGUGGGUAGCGAACAGGAUUAGAUACCCUGGUAGUCCACGCCGUAAACGAUGGGUGCUAGAUGUGGGGACCAGUUCACGGUUUCCGUGUCGAAGCUAACGCGUUAAGCACCCCGCCUGGGGACUACGGCCGCAAGGCUAAA
RNAcentral lists this ribosomal RNA (396 nucleotides) under uncultured bacterium. Its description in RNAcentral is "bacterial SSU rRNA". It matches the Rfam family "Bacterial small subunit ribosomal RNA", at positions 505 to 898 of the family's 1533-position model. The record is from RNAcentral.